GUCCACGCUGUAAACGAUGGGCACUAGGCGUCGGGGGGAGCGACCCUCCCGGUGCCGUCGCUAACGCAAUAAGUGCCCCGCCUGGGGAGUACGGCCGCAAGGUUGAAACUCAAAGGAAUUGACGGGGGCCCGCACAAGCGGUGGAGCAUGUGGUUUAAUUCGAUGCAACGCGAAGAACCUUACCUGGGCUUGACAUGUACGUGAAAGCCGGCAGAAACGCCGGGCCUCCUUCGGGACGCGUACACAGGUGCUGCAUGGCUGUCGU
This 265-nucleotide ribosomal RNA is filed under the name uncultured bacterium. RNAcentral describes it as "partial 16S ribosomal RNA". It matches the Rfam family "Bacterial small subunit ribosomal RNA", at positions 793 to 1055 of the family's 1533-position model. The record is from RNAcentral.